AUGCAUGCCCUUAUCGGUAUGGUUCCUCCGGAGCCUCGGGAACCAGAAGCGGAAGACAAGAAGAAGGAAAGAAUUGCAGCUGGUGCUACUUUCACAUGGAUUGCAUGGAACUUUUCUAAUUGCCCCGAGGAGGCUAAUGAGGAUGAGGUCAAGACAUAUGCUCGUGUCUACAUGUGGUACGUUAUAUCAAGGACUAUGUUUGCUGAUGGGAUAGGCAAGAAUGCUUCAUGGAUGUGGCUGAAGGCGUUGACCAUCUUCGAUAGCAAAUGGAGUUGGGGUUCAGCGACACUAGCUUACUUGUAUAGACAGGUAGAAAGUUGUUUCUUUUUCACUUCGUUGUUAUAUUAUCAAUGCGAUCUUCUUGUUAAUUCAACCAUGUUCUCUUUUAUGGCUAAUUUUUUAUAA
This 405-nucleotide ribosomal RNA is filed under the name Triticum aestivum (bread wheat). RNAcentral describes it as "partial small subunit ribosomal RNA". Lineage: Eukaryota; Viridiplantae; Streptophyta; Magnoliopsida; Poales; Poaceae. The record is from RNAcentral.